This 296-nucleotide ribosomal RNA is filed under the name uncultured bacterium. Its description in RNAcentral is "partial 16S ribosomal RNA". It matches the Rfam family "Bacterial small subunit ribosomal RNA", at positions 334 to 627 of the family's 1533-position model. The record is from RNAcentral.
UCGCCCUACGGGGGGCAGCAGUGAGGAAUACUGGUCAAUGGCCGGAAGGCUGAACCAGCCAAGUCGCGUGAGGGACGACUGCCCUAUGGGUUGUAAACCUCUUUUAUAAGGGAAGAAUAAAUGCUACGUGUAGCAUGAUGCCUGUACCUUAUGAAUAAGCAUCGGCUAACUCCGUGCCAGCAGCCGCGGUAAUACGGAGGAUGCGAGCGUUAUCCGGAUUUAUUGGGUUUAAAGGGUGCGUAGGCGGUUUGUUAAGUUAGUGGUUAAACUUCGGGGCUUAACCUUUAUUUGCCCUU